Molecule: long non-coding RNA, 5153 nt
Filed under: Sus scrofa (pig)
Lineage: Eukaryota; Metazoa; Chordata; Mammalia; Artiodactyla; Suidae
Description: lncRNA (ENSSSCG00000052731.1)
Source: RNAcentral
CUUCUUGCCUUUUCUAGGGCCACUCCCGCUGCAUAUGGAUGUUCCCAGGCUAGGGGUCUAAUCAGAGCUAUACCCACAGGCCUACGCCACAGCCACAGCAAUGUGGGAUCCAAGCCGCGUCUGUGACCUACACCACAGCUCACGGCAAAGCCAGAUCCUUAACCCACUGAGCAAGGCCAGGGAUCGAACCUGCAACCUCAUGGUUCCUAGUCAGAUUUGUUAAGCACUGCACCACAACGGGAACUCCUGCCCAUGUCUUCUUAACUGUCCUCCUUGGGCUGUGGAAUCCAGAAAGGUAAAGCAUGUUCCCCAAAGAUACACAGCAAGUGCUUAGACAUGAAUCCUGGAUCUCUGACUUGUUUCUACCUCUGCGUGAGUUAACAAUGGUUGACCAAUAGCAAACUUAUUUUGAAAGUGCUUGCUAGCUCUUUUUCCGUCACUAGAUAUUACCUGGUAGUUGGCCUCAUAAAUAUUGUAUCAUUAUGACUCCUAAUAUCUCUGUCAGAGUUCUUAACUUUUACGAUAAUAGGCAACUUGGAAACACUUUGCCAGACAUUAGGCCAUAAUGCACAGAAUAAGUGACUUCAAAUGGGUUGUAGCAAUCUAGAGCAUGUCUGGGAAACAAAUAACUGAUACUGGACAACAGUGAAAAUCAAAGGCUAAGUGCUGUCUUCGUGAAAUGAAAUAAAAUAAAAUGAAAUGAGGGCUGCUUUCUGGUCCUUUGUCUCACUGUGAACUGCUACAGCAGCUGCUUUCCGUUUCACUCUAAACAAUUCCUUGAAACAAUAAACCCAGGAAGAAACUAUGGGAGGCAAACCCAAUCAUUCUCUAACAACACCUAUUGCACUCUCUGCUGUGUGGCUCUAUUAGUGUAACCCGAAGGUCUAAUUCCCUAUGUUUUAAUCUCAAUUCCAAAAGCAAAGUGCCCCCCCAGAGAACUGCGGCCAUCCUUUGAGGGCAAACAAUUACUCGUUGCGACACCAUCACCCAACUUUUGACUAAGAACACUGUUACACAGAUGAAACAGGUUAAAAUAAAUUUCAAGGGCACUCUUGAUGAGAAAAAGAAAAUUUUUAAAAUUCAAACUUGAGUGAAAUUGUGACUAGAAGGAUGAAAGCGUUUUGCAAGCGGGUAAUGGUGACAGGUGUAGGGAUUUUUAAAUUUAUUUUCUUUAUGUUAAUCCUCUGUCUCCUUUCUACCCAGCUUACAGAAAUAGGAAAGUGCUUUCAAAAACUGAAGUAAUCGAAAUAAAAAAUUUAGAUGAGAAAAUACCAACUCCCAGAGUGACAGAGAGGAAUGUAGACCAUAAAUUAACAGUGAGUUGCUCCUAAGCUUCAGAAGAACCAAAAUAAAAAGGGAAACAGAGUCAUUUAUAAGAUUAGCAUGUCGACAAGAUCAAAAAUGAAUCAAAUGUUCAGGAGAAUCAACUUCCUGGAACUGAGACCUGGAAGCAUUUUUCCUGUGGCUUCAGAUGCCCCAGAAGUUCCUGCAGGCAGGUCCACCCUCCUGUGUCUGCUGUGGCAUCAGUCAAAGCCCCAACCUAGCCAUGCAUUUGGAACAUGCUGAUACCAGACCUCACCAAUGAAAUCAGUAUCUCCACGGAUGGCUCCCAGGAGUCAGUAUUUAAAACAAGCAAACAAACAAAAAGGAGUUCCCAUCGUGGCUCAGCCGUUAACGAAACUGACUAGUAUCCAUGAGGAUGCGGGUUCAAUCCCUGGCCUUGCUCAGAGGGUUAAGGAUCCAGCGUUGCUGUGAGCUGUGGUGUAGGUUACAGACGAGGCUGGGAUACCGCGUUGCUGUGUGUGUCUGGCAGUUGUAGCUCCGAUUCGACCCCUAGCCUGGGAGCCUCCAUAUGCCAAGGGUGCAGCCCUCAAAAGCAAAAAACAAAACAAACAAACAAAAAAAACCCACAGUUCUCCAAGUGAUUCCAGUGUACAACCAGUGUCAAAGGCCUUUGUGAUUGAUGCUGUCCCCUCUCUCCCACAGGAACCUCCCCAUUCCACAUCCCCAUUGAGAAGCGCAGGGCAACAUAUAAGACUUACCGUGGUUUGGAGAUUCCACUUCUUUCCUGCCUCUAUAAGUUAUGGUUUUGACCAUAACCAUCUUCUCCAGGGGUCUCUCCUGUGUCUUGGAGAUGACCCAGCUCCUGCUGUUAAUCUUGAUGUUUUAACUUUUAAUUCAAAGGUGACACCAACUGUAAUUUUGGGGUGACCUUUGUCUCUUUAGUCACAGUCACACACUCAGACAUAAAUCACGAUUUUUCUUUUGAAAUAAUAUAGGACAUGUCAUGCACUUUAACAGGUGCUACAGAAUGGCUCACUCACUACCCUCCAUCUCCUCUGCCUUCAAUUAGGUAGGGUGGAAAAUUAACUUUCCAGCUACCCCUAAAACCAUGCAGCAUGGUUCAGGUCAUAAACAUAGGCAAGUCCUUGGGGAAAACUCCUAUUCCUAAAUAAAAAAUGAAGCUUUGAGUUCCCACCGUGGUUAACGAAUCCGACUAGGAACCAUGAGUUGUGGGUUCGAUCCCUGGCACCGCUCAGUGGGUUAAGGAUCUGGUGUUGCUGUGAGCUGUGAUGCAGGUCGGAGACUCGGCUCCCACGUUGCUGUGGCUCUGGCAUAGGCUUGGCAGCUACCGCUCCAAUUAGACCCCUAGCCUGGGAACCUCCAUAUGCCAUAGAUGCGGGCCUAGAAAAGCCAAAAAAAAAAAAACAAUGAAGCUUCAUGAAGAGAAGGUUUUUGUGCAUCUCCUUUCUUCCUGCCUGGGAGCAGCCAACUUUAAAUCAUACGGAUGAAAGGAACACACUAAGCGCAGUGAGGGAGAACACGGGUGAUGACGUGGAGGGCACCAGCCCUAAACUUCCCACCUGGGAGUUCUUAUUACAUGAAAAAAACAGACCCCUGUUUGGUAUUAAGCCACUAUACUCAAGUCUCUGCUGCUUACAGUCACAUGCAAUCCCAGCCAACACGUGUGUGGUACCACUGGACAAGGUGAACUAGAACAGCGUUUUUACAAGCUACAGUUACAUACAGCGAUUUACAAGUUACAUACUAACUCAACCCACGAUGGGUAAAUAGAGGUAGACAUGGACAUAGAUGAUCAAGAGAUGAUUGAUAUAUAAUAGAGAUAAACAGACUUCAGUAGAAAUGAAGGGUUUCACUCAUUUGCUCAACUUCUUCUCAUCCACCACAAGUUAAUAUUCUUGCAACUUUUUCUCUGCUCUAAGAAUUGAGAAAGGAUAUUGGAGGCUUCUCUUAUUCCUGGGAAGGAAAAACAGACUUCCUUUUUUAUUUCAAAGAUCAUAAAGAAGUGGCUCGUGAUGGGGAAGGGCCCGAAGGAGUAGAGGAAGGGGAUGUGGCCCAAUCCAGAGCCCGGAAAGCCUCCCCCAAAGCAGGAGGAGAAACAGAAGGUGUAACAAGUCUCUCAAGGGGUGAAGACCAGGUCCCACUCUCACAGGAAAAUGGGGCAUGGAUGAUAAGGAUCAUGACCUUGAGAGCUGGCAGGGUCCCCUGCAGUGGGUGGCGGGAGCUUGAAGGACAGCUCGGUGGGCCUCCCUGAUGAGCUCUGCCUGCAACGCUGAACAGCAUCUCAUUUAGCACAAGGUUCACUGUAAAGAUCAAGGACACCAUGAGAGAGCUUCCUGGUAUUUCUUGGCACCACUUAAAUUCUGGGAUUCUUGUUAAUUCACCGCAGGCAAAGGGAGCCCCCAAAAUAACCGAUACUGAGCUCGCUUUGCUAAGUGGGAACUUAAAAUUAAUAUACCCGGAGAAAACAAAGAAGUGUGAGCACUGAUGAUUCUUUGCAUCCGAGCACUGGAGAAUUUAUUACUGCCCGGCCCCCUGUUGAAAGAGGCAUUCAUUCUGUAGGACAAUCUUGGGGAGUAACCCAGUUGCGGAGGAUUGCAUUUAUCUGAAAAUAAUUAAACACUGGAGCAAAGUCUGAUAUUUGUUUUUGAUCAAACUAAAGGAAAAGGAUAAGGAACCCAGCUGCCCCUUCUGGUGAGGCUGCAGAAUCAAAACUGAGGAGUGAAAGGGACUUGGAAGACCAUCUGGUCCUACUCCUGUGAUGCUCAAAUUCCCUCCCCAACCUCCCCAUCACUGCACCCCCUUGAACCCUGAUUUGAGCAUGGCUUCUGGGCACAAAGUCCGGGCACAGUGGGACAAACGGAAAGUGAGGGCACAAGCCCUGCCCUCAAGACACUCAAAACAGAGAAGUGAGCCAUCAGGGCAUAAAGGUUUGUAACAACACUGGGUUUGGGUGGGAAGUAGGGCGAGGAGACUGUGUAAAGUCUGGAAUAGAGGCUUAUCCCCAAGGACAAGAGCCUGCAGUGAGGGUCUCCAGGGGGUGGGAGUCAAUGAGAAACUGUUCUAAGGACACAGAAGGAACACCUUGGUGGCGUGGGGACAGACUUGACCAGUUUCACAAUGUUGCUGCGGAGGGAGGCAGGACAGGGGCACUGAAAGGUCUAGCUUAGGUGGCAACAGGAAAAGGAAAAGAGUUUUUUAAAAAAUCACAUAUAUAUGCUAGGUAAUGCUAUAUUCACAAUUCAAAUCCUACUUCCUACUCUGUUCUGUAAUAUUAAUUUGCCCCAGGAAGAUUAUUGCAUUUCAUCUAGAGUUUUGAAGCCAUUUGGAAUGCACUCAGGUCCUUCCACCACCUUUGUCUAGCAAUGAACAUUACUGAACCCCGCAGCAGUCAGCUCUUCCAGCAGCAUGUGAGGGACUAUUGGGGGAAUUUGAAAAUUUUAUGGUCUGAAAAGUGGGCCUUAGCACUUUAGCUUUUAUUCUCUCAGAGAGCUUAUAAAUCCCUCUUCAUUUAGCAGUUUUCAAGACAGUGACAGCUUUUGUUAGUCAGGCUAAAGAGAGAUUAGAAAUAAAAAUUUUAACCAUUAAUCCUCACUGAUUAAAGUGAAACCAGAAAUCAAAUUGUUACCAACUGUGUGCUAAUUUCAGCUUAAUUCUUUGGCAAGAGGUGUUGGAAAUUUUCAGGCGGCUGCACUAAUUCACAAUGCCUGACUACCGAUGGCAGCAAGUCAAGGUCUCCUUUCCUCCUGGGUCCAGGGUGUGAACAAUGACUAUUUCAAAAUCAGCCCAAUAAAAUAUAAACAUUAAAUCCUUCGCUAUGUUGUUUCUCAGCCAUCAUUUCCCACACCACU